This is a long non-coding RNA of Megalobrama amblycephala (Wuchang bream), 1579 nucleotides long. RefSeq lists it as uncharacterized. The transcript has 2 exons. The record is from RefSeq and is a predicted model, not a curated record. NCBI's taxonomy places the organism in Eukaryota, Metazoa, Chordata, Actinopteri, Cypriniformes, Xenocyprididae.
UGCCUUAUUAAUUCCUUAUGUUUUCAUUAUUUGUACAGACUGAACUUUUAACAAGUCAACACAAUCCACAUUUCGUUUCAAUUUCUAUCCCAUUUUAGAAUUGGCACAAUUUUUUAAAAACUUGAUUUAUUUUACAUAUUUUACCUUAUCUUAUAGCUCACAAAAACUGUUGUAAAAAAACAAAUGAAAUGAAAAUAAAGAUCUAACCCAACUUCAAAUAAUUUUAAUUAAAUUACUUAUUUAAUCAUUUUGUAUGGUUUAAAUUAAUUUUGUUGUUGUUGUUAUUUGACAUUACUGUGAUCUAAACCAAGAGUUACAUAAUGAAAAUAGUAUGCUUAAUGCUUACUGAUUAUUGAAUAAAGAUUAGAUUUGACCUAAGAAACAAACAAACAAACAAAAAUGCUAGAAACACUUUCAGUAUGCAUUUCAGGCCUUGCGUUUAGGAUGCUACACAGUUACGUCAUUGCGCGCGCCCAAAUUCAAAAGUAAUCAAAAGACCGCCAAUUUCGCCAAAUUACGCGCAUUCAGGAUAGAGACCAAUGGUCCACGGAUGUUCGCACUUGUCGACUGGAAACAAGAAUGGAAUGAAAAUUGGAGCAUUGUUCCAACAUCACACAUAAAAAACUUAGACAAUGAUGAUUUCUUGGAUGGACUGGAUGACAGAUCUGUCUAUUUAACUGAGUGGAGAGGUGGACUGAAGAAAAAACCUCAAAGCGGAUGGCAUUUGUAUGAGAAAAUGGUACAUAAAGUUGCAGGUAAUUUUUGAUUUAUUUUUAAUUAUAAUUCACACAUUGAUAUUGCACGGAGAAUACAUUUUAAAUGAUUGCUAAACUGCAUGAGCCAUUGAUUUACCAAACUACUGGUCAGGGUAACGUUAGCCCAGCUUACUAGCUCGGUAAGAAGAACAGAUCGGUUAGUUGAGCAGAAAUUAACCGUGUUUAACUAUUACGUUUUUUAAAUUUCUCUAUUACUGCAUAAUUGUGUGCGUUGUAUGUUCAUAUUUAACAGCUAACGUUAACUACGAGUAGAUUAUUAGACUGAAGUGCAUAAUUCUAUGAUCUUUAAAUGUUUAUGUGAGAAUAAUAUCUUUAAAAAGUAAUAUUUUAGCGGCCAGAUACAUGUAGUGGAGAAAUAAAAAUGCAUGACUGUUAACUACACUGUGUUUCACAGACAGGCCUCAGCCAGGAUUAGGCCUUAGUUUAAGUAGUUUUUAUGAACGUACACUAGUGGAAAAAAAGAAAAAAAAAAACAUUACUUGUGUGCAUCUUGAGACGGAACAAUGGCUUAGACAUGAUUUAAGAUAUAUGUCCAAGAAUUAAGUUGAAAAAUGUAUUUUAUGGUUGAGUAGUUAGAUAGGAGUGGAGUGAGUUCUGAUUUUGUUCUAAACUGUUAUGUUGCUCUUUCUUAGGUGGCAAGUCUAAAAAAAGCAAGCCCUGGGGAAACAAAAGAGGCCUUGGACAGAACAAAAAUUGAUGCAAUAAUGAAUGCAGUGAUCCAGAGAUCUCCUGGAACCACCAGGGGCCAACUAAGGGUCGCUAUUAAUCAAAAGGUCACUGAGCUGCGGACAUCCAAAAAGACU